UGAGAGUGGGGUACCCUCUUGCUAUGGGAGGAUAUCCAAGUGUGUGACGAGAUGUGACUCGUUGUCUUGGGUAAGGAAGGAUGGCUUCAUGCCCGGCUAGUAAAUGAAUCUGUCUUGCGGUGUUGAUGUGAUUACCAGGCCCUGCUGUGGACCUGAUAAGGGGAGUUCUUCAAGAGAGUCCAAGUCGCAGUCGUGGUCUUCAAUUGACUCUAAUCCGGAUUGGACUUUCGAUUGAGCUUUUUGAUGAACCGUGACCGUGUUUCGGAGUCCGAGCGGAAAUCGACUUGGAGUUGUAUCCGGUCCACACAAUGGCUGAAUUGCCUGCUCGCACGAACUAGUUCGAGUUCUGGUCAAAC
RNAcentral lists this long non-coding RNA (356 nucleotides) under Setaria viridis. RNAcentral describes it as "long non-coding RNA (SVIR_LNC009291)". Lineage: Eukaryota; Viridiplantae; Streptophyta; Magnoliopsida; Poales; Poaceae. The record is from RNAcentral.